AGCAAAAUGUCAGGGAGGAGAGAAGCAUGGCCUCUCGAGACAAACCCAGGCUGCUAAGAAUGUAAGCUCUGGUCUCACUUUGCGUUCCAGCCAAACACCUAAGUGCUCCUUUCUAUGACCAAAGAAUUCUUCACUGAUUAAAAUCUGGUUACAAAACAAGGGACCUAGAGAGAUGUUCACUUCACCACUUCUCUACAGAUGCCUCCUGCUGCUUCCAACUUUUCUCCUUUAAGGCAGGGUGAAUCCAAAUCAUGGUCUUAGCCCUGAAGGAGGCACCAAAGCAGUUUCGUUGCCCUGUGAAAAGCUUCUAGAGGAGCUCAUCUGAAUGCUU
This 331-nucleotide long non-coding RNA is filed under the name Homo sapiens (human). RNAcentral's name for it is "long intergenic non-protein coding RNA 2478". The record is from RNAcentral. Lineage: Eukaryota; Metazoa; Chordata; Mammalia; Primates; Hominidae.